RNAcentral lists this unclassified non-coding RNA (306 nucleotides) under plant metagenome. RNAcentral's name for it is "partial contains 5.8S ribosomal RNA, internal transcribed spacer 2, and large subunit ribosomal RNA". The stretch from base 1 to 105 matches the Rfam family "5.8S ribosomal RNA", at positions 50 to 154 of the family's 154-position model. The record is from RNAcentral.
GAAAUGCGAUAAGUAAUGUGAAUUGCAGGAUUCAGUGAAUCAUCGAAUCUUUGAACGCACAUUGCGCCCGCCAGUAUUCUGGCGGGCAUGCCUGUCCGAGCGUCAUUUCAACCAUCAAGCCCCCGGGCUUGUGUUGGGGACCUGCGGCUGCCCGCAGGCCCUGAAAACCAGUGGCGGGCUCGCUGUCACACCGAGCGUAGUAGCAAUCACCUCGCUCAGGGCGUGCUGCGGGUUCCGGCCGUUAAACAGCCUUACAAAACCCAAGGUUGACCUCGGAUCAGGUAGGAAGACCCGCUGAACUUAAGC